Molecule: RNA transcript, 2484 nt
Organism: Chroicocephalus ridibundus (black-headed gull)
Lineage: Eukaryota; Metazoa; Chordata; Aves; Charadriiformes; Laridae
Gene name: methylcrotonoyl-CoA carboxylase beta chain, mitochondrial-like
Exons: 14
Source: RefSeq, a predicted model, not a curated record
GCAAGGCCCCGCCGGCAGGCCCGGCCCGGGCACCCGGGACAGAGGACGCCCGGGGCAGAGGAGAGGACACCCGGGGGCGGGCCGCCGUGUAGGCUGCGGAGCCGCCCCGAGAGGCGGGCCCGGCCCGGACGGCUGAGCGGCGGCUGCCCGACCCUCAGGGUCAUGUGGAACACUGUGGCUUUGUGCUCCCUUGGCAGGCGGCCCCCCAAGGCCGCGUCUCCACUGCUCCCAAGGUUACAAACCUUAAAUCGCGUGUUCGAAAGAAAGUAUAAGGAUUUGUGUCACGGUAAAGAGCCAGCACACGUACUGCAGAAUCAGGGGUUGAAAUGGACACGCGACAUGCUUCCCUGCCGUUUAGUAAGUAACAAAGCAAAAUAUAGACGGUAUGCCAAAACUUACCCUGUUUUAGAUGGACGUAUCCUGUCUGUGUAUCGACAUGUGUUUGAAGAGAAUUUAAGGAACAGUGAGGCUGUUAUUAAAAGAUAUUCAGAAUUGCUAGAGACGGUCAGUAAAGGAGGGGGAGAAAAUGCCAUCUUGCGUCAUACGCAGAGAAACAAGAAGCUGUUUGUUCGUGAGCGCCUGAAGUUGCUACUCGAUGAUGAGCCUUUUCUUGAGCUGUCUCCGCUGGCAGGCCUCAGUUUGCCAUAUGGGGAUGUCCCUGCUGCUGGGUGCCUUACUGGAAUUGGCAAAAUCUGUGGGGUCUGGUGUGUCUUCACGGCAAAUGAUGCAACGGUGAAAGGAGGAACUAUUUAUCCCAUUGGAGUAAAGAAACAAUUAAGAGCUCAAGAAAUAGCCCUGCAGAACAGACUGUGUUCUGUGUACCUGGUUGACAGCGGGGGAGCAUUCCUACCGCUACAGUCAGAGCUGUUUCCCGACAAGUUGCACGGCGGCAGAGUUUUCUACAAUGAAGCAAUAAUGUCUGCCAUGAGAAUCCCUCAGGUGGCAGUGGUGUGCGGCUCCUGUGUGGCCGGAGGUGCCUACUUGCCAACCAUGGCAGAAGAAGCUGUGAUCAUAGAUAAAAUCGGUACACUGUUCCUUGCUGGCCCACCUCUGGUGAAAGCUGCUACAGGAGAAGAUGUCUGUCCUGAGGACCUAGGAGGAGCCAGACUUCACUCUAAAGUCAGUGGCUGUAGUGACCAUUUUGCAUCUUCAGAAAAGGAAGCCUAUGAAUGUAUUCGGAACGUUAUCUCAACGUUAAAUUAUGAUCCGCUGCCAGAGGAGGUCGUAGAGCACGACAGCCCCCUGUUUAGUUCUGAUGAGCUCUUGGGACUGGCACCGCGAGAUUAUAGGUGUACUCUUCCUGUGAAACUGAUUCUGAGCCGUCUGAUGGAUGGAAGCAGGUUCCAGGAAUUCAAGGCUAAUUAUGGAACAACAUUAGUAACAGGAUUCGGCCACGUGGAAGGGCACUUGGUGGGGGUCGUGGCUAACAACGGGGAGCUGUCUCAUGAUGCUUCUCUCAAGGGCAGCCACUUCGUUCAGCUCUGCAGUCAGCGCAGCAUUCCCAUCCUCUUCUUCCAAAACACUGCUCCUCAUACAGCACAGCCAGCCAGCAUCUCGCAGGCAGAGGCUCACUCCAACAGGUUAAAAGCCCAGGCCUCCAUGAUGGCUGCUGUUGCUUGUGCGGCUGUUUCCAAAAUAACCAUUGUAAUCGGUGGCUGUUAUGGGAACGAAAGUUAUGUUAUGUGCGGGAGAUCGUUCAGUCCAAACUUCCUGUUCUUGUGGCCUAACGCAAGAGUUGCUCUUGUGGAUCCAAGACAUUUCUCCACAGUCCCACAGGCUGGGGACAGUGACUGUACAGGAGAUGAAUCAGAGCUAAAACAUCUGAAAGAAAAGCUAGAGGAAGAAAGCAGUGCAUUUUACUCCUCUGCCAGACUCUGGGAUGAUGGUGUAAUUCUACCUCAAAAUACAAGAAAGGUAAUUGCGCAGUGCUUGGAGAUUACAGAACAGCAGAAGUACCAGGCCGUGUCUCCGUGCCAGUAUCCCGUCAUCAGGAUGUGACUGCGCCCCGCUUCAAAUAACCAGCCUUCUCGAGGUAGCGCCCCCCGCUGGAAGUCUUUAAUUCAUGUUUUGGUAUGAAAUCCAGAAGUCAAGAAACUGCACUUGGGAAAGGCCCAGUCGGAUUGCUCCGAGGAUAAUAAAGGAGUGACCAGGAGGUGAUUUAAAUCUGUGCUACUUCAGUAUUACAGUACCUCGUCUCAAGGCACGUAACAGCACAGAGACUGUCCUACACCACGUUACCGUGGGUACAGGUACCGAGUUUACACGCGGCCGUUUCAUGCGUCUUUAACUCUGCUGCAGCCGCACAGUUUCAUUUUGUAAAAAUGAAAAAAAACUCCCUGCCCCAAACUUGUGUUGUUUUAACUGUACAAGCGUUCCUAGCACGGUACGUCUGGAAAUCACGCCCAAGGGUGUAUUUGAAAAAUGCCUGGCUAAGUAUUUUGAAGAGUCGUCAACAAAACUGAAGUGUGCAAUCUUAAUUAAGUA